Molecule: ribosomal RNA, 534 nt
Filed under: uncultured soil bacterium
Lineage: Bacteria
Description: bacterial SSU rRNA
Rfam family: Bacterial small subunit ribosomal RNA
Source: RNAcentral
AGAAUGAACGCUGGCGGCGUGCUUAACACAUGCAAGUCGAACGAGGCGGAGGGGGCAACCCUCCAGUCGAGUGGCGGACGGGUGAGUAACACGUGGGUAACCUGCCCGGAAGUGGGGAACACCUCGGGGAAACUCGAGCUAAUACCGCAUGACAUCUUCGGGACGAAAGUCCUGACGAUCAAAGCGGGGCCGCAAGGCCUCGCGCUUCCGGAUGGGCCCGCGCCCGAUUAGCUAGUUGGCGAGGUAACGGCUCACCAAGGCUUCGAUCGGUAACCGGCCUGAGACGGGGCGAGUCCGGUACGACGACCCGGAAACUUGGAGACACGGUCCCGGACUCCGUACGGGAGGCAGCCAGUGGGGAAUCGUAGCGCGAAUGGGCGAAAGCCUGACGCAGCAACGCGCGUGAGAUGAAGGCCCUUGGUGUAACGUCCUGUCGGCUGGAAGAAAGUCGUUACGGGCGAAGUACCCCGGAGUUACGACUGUACCGAGACGAAAGGAACGCCCCGGAUAAACCGUCGUACGUCGACCGAACGG